GGGGGUGUAGCUCAAUUUGUAGAGCAUUGGCCUAGCAUGUGUGAGGCCCUGGGUUCAAUUCCCAGCACCACAA
Molecule: transfer RNA, 73 nt
Filed under: Marmota monax (woodchuck)
Lineage: Eukaryota; Metazoa; Chordata; Mammalia; Rodentia; Sciuridae
Also listed under: 2 other names
Rfam family: tRNA
About the family: Transfer RNA (tRNA) molecules are approximately 80 nucleotides in length. Their secondary structure includes four short double-helical elements and three loops (D, anti-codon, and T loops).
Source: Rfam by way of RNAcentral